Molecule: ribosomal RNA, 497 nt
Filed under: uncultured bacterium
Lineage: Bacteria
Description: partial 16S ribosomal RNA
Rfam family: Bacterial small subunit ribosomal RNA (bases 12-383)
Source: RNAcentral
GAUGAACGCUGGCGGCGUGCCUAAUACAUGCAAGUCGAGCGAACAGACGAGGAGCUUGCUCCUCUGACGUUAGCGGCGGACGGGUGAGUAACACGUGGAUAACCUACCUAUAAGACUGGGAUAACUUCGGGAAACCGGAGCUAAUACCGGAUAACAUGUUGAACCGCAUGGUUCAACAGUGAAAGACGGUCUUGCUGUCACUUAUAGAUGGAUCCGCGCCGCAUUAGCUAGUUGGUAAGGUAACGGCUUACCAAGGCAACGAUGCGUAGCCGACCUGAGAGGAGGGUCGGACAAACGAGAGAAGGACAAGGGACGGGAGGCGGACGGGGGGAAGCGAGGGGGGAGUUUCAAAAAGGGGCAGAAGAAUAAGGGAACGAGGCAGCGUGAGAGAAAAAGAUGUAUGAGUCGUAAAAAUAUGUGAUGAAGGAAGAAGAGAGGUGAAGGUAACUAGGGGGGUAGGGAGGGUAAGUGAUCGGAAAGGCACGGCUAAAGGAGGG